Acanthosepion pharaonis is the source of this 112-nucleotide non-coding RNA. The record is from the annotation of a GenBank genome assembly. Lineage: Eukaryota; Metazoa; Mollusca; Cephalopoda; Sepiida; Sepiidae.
UACAGCCAUGUCAUGUUGAAAUAUGAGUUCUCAUACAAUCACUGAAGUUAAGUAAUGUCAGUCCUGGUCAGUACCUGGAUGGGUGACUGCUUGGGAAUACCAGGUGUUGUAA